CCUACGGGAGGCAGCAGUGAGGAAUAUUGGUCAAUGGGAGGGAUCCUGAACCAGCCAAGCAGCGUGCAGGAUGACGGCCCUAUGGGUUGUAAACCUCUUUUGUCGGAGAACAAAACCCGUGACGUGUCCCGGAUUGCGUGUAUCCGAAGAAAAAGCAUCGGCUAAUUCCGUGCCAGCAGCCGCGGUAAUACGGAGGGUGCGAGCGUUAUCCGGAUUUAUUGGGUUUAAAGGGGGCGUAGGCGGGCCGUUAAGUGUGCGGUGAAAUUGCCGGGCUCAACCCCGGCCAUGCGGGGGAAACUGGCGGGCUUGAGUUGGCGGGAAGUACGCGGAAUGCGUGGUGUAGCGGUGAAAUGCAUAGAUAUCGCGAAGAACUCCGAUUGCGAAGGCAGCGUACUGGAGCGCAACUGACGCUGAUGCACGAAAGCGUGGGUAUCGAACAGGAUUAGAUACCCGUGUAGUC
Molecule: ribosomal RNA, 460 nt
Filed under: uncultured bacterium
Lineage: Bacteria
Description: partial 16S ribosomal RNA
Rfam family: Bacterial small subunit ribosomal RNA
Source: RNAcentral